This 851-nucleotide ribosomal RNA is filed under the name uncultured Corynebacterium sp. RNAcentral describes it as "bacterial SSU rRNA". It matches the Rfam family "Bacterial small subunit ribosomal RNA", at positions 1 to 879 of the family's 1533-position model. The record is from RNAcentral. Lineage: Bacteria; Bacillati; Actinomycetota; Actinomycetes; Mycobacteriales; Corynebacteriaceae.
UUAGAGUUUGAUCAUGGCUCAGGACGAACGCUGGCGGCGUGCUUAACACAUGCAAGUCGACGGAAAGGCUUCUAGCUUGCUAGAGGUACUCGAGUGGCGAACGGGUGAGUAACACGUGGUGAUCUGCCCCUAACUUCGGGAUAAGCUUGGGAAACUGGGUCUAAUACCGGAUAGGACCAGCUUUAGUGUGUGUGGUGGAAAGUUUUUUCGGUUAGGGAUGAGCCCGCGGCCUAUCAGCUGUUGGUGGGGUAAUGGCCUACCAAGGCGUCGACGGGUAGCCGGCCUGAGAGGGUGUACGGCACAUUGGGACUGAGAUACGGCCCAGACUCCUACGGGAGGCAGCAGUGGGGAAUAUUGCAAAUGGGCGGAAGCCUGAUGCAGCGACGCCGCGUGGGGGAUGACGGCCUUCGGGUUGUAAAUCCUUUCGCCAGGGACGAAGCGUUAUGUGACGGUACCUGGAUAAGAAGCACCGGCUAACUCGUGCCAGCAGCCGCGGUAAUACGUAGGGUGCGAGCGUUGUCCGGAAUUACUGGGCGUAAGAGCUCGUAGGUGGUUUGUCGCGUCGUCUGUGAAAUUCCGGGGCUUAACUCCGGGCGUGCGGCGAUACGGGCAUAACUUGAGUGCUGUAGGGGAGACUGGAAUUCCUGGUGUAGCGGUGAAUGCGCAGAUAUCAGGAGGAACACCGAUGGCGAAGGCAGGUCUCUGGGCAGUAACUGACGUGAGGAGCGAAAGCAUGGGUAGCGAACAGGAUUAGAUACCCUGGUAGUCCAUGCCGUAAAGGUGGGCGCUAGGUGUAGGGGGCUUCCACGUCUUCUGUGCCGUAGCUAACGCAUUAAGCGCCCGCCUGGGGA